AAAAAAAAAGGUAAGAAGCAAAGACGGAGUUCUAAGGGAGGUUUAAAUGUUGUUUGGAUGGAAAGAAAGAGAAAUAUAAAUUUUUUCCCUUUCUUUUCUUGUUCAUACAACUUUAGAUUCAAUCUUAAUAUAUAUGAUCUGAAUUUUCAAUAAAAUUUAAAAGAAAAUAAAUGAAACUGGAUGAAAAGGAGAAGAAUACCUAUACAUAUAUAUGUCACGACCAGGAGCUAAGCGGCGAUUACAAAGCCAACAAGCUCGCAAAAAAGGAGCAGCGGCAGUGGUGCCGCUGUCGAUGACAUGGCUAGUAAAAGAAGCUGGGUUUCUGGGCGACACCAUGGCCAAGAAGCGUUGAUCGUAACGGGAGUUAGCGUCGGGGGAUUCAUGCAAAGGGUGGAUUUGAGGGGGAGGAUGGGAUAUGAUUGGGUCUUGGUGGUGGUCGACGACAUCGACGGUGAUGCCCGUCAUGCUUGUCGUCCUCUUGAUCGGCUGACGUGAGCGUUUUCCGAGCAUCAUCCUGCUAUAUAUAUGUAUGCGUAUUGGCUUAAUUUCUCUCUUGUUUUUGCUCUAGUGAAUAGCAAAGAGAGUGGGAAUGGAAGGAAAAGCGAGGUGGGGGAGAUAAAUUAAGGGUGAGAGGAUUGAAAUGUAAAACAUGGUUGAUUAUGCAUAUUUUAACCUUUAGGGAAGAAUCGAGGGAAUCUUUGGCACCCUCAGCUGGAAGUUUUUAAAUACGAAAGAGAUUCUUUUGGAGUUUUGGGAAGGUUAGUUAUUUAAUUAAAUAAAAGUCCAUUAUUGCUAUGUGUCGGGUUGCUGGCAUUGCUUUUACAAGCCUUGACAUUUUGUUGCUAAUGUCCCAUCUUUCUUUUCUCACCUUUGGAACACCCCUACUCCUUUUUCAUCUCUCUACCAAUCUUAGGAAUUCCAAUUUCAUAAUAACACUUUUAAAAGCUUUAAUUUAAGUUUUAAAUGUUUGAUGUUGGUGUUAAAAAUGUUUUUGAGAAAUAAAAUAUGUUGUGAGUGAAAAUAUAUAUAUUUAAAUGGCAUUUAAAUUUGUUAAUAUUGUGACAUUUCAAUAAAAGAUAAUUUUGUUGAUACAUAGUAUCAAUGGAGGUAAAUGAGGAGGAGAUGGGCAGUAUCGAAGAAGAUCAGUUCAACCACUCUAGGGUUGAAAGCCAAAAAAAAUAAAGACUCUUUUUUUCUCUCUAGACCCUGAUACGUUAAGCAUUCAUCCUAAGUUUAUUUACUUUUUUGGCUUUCAACCCUAGAGUGGGUGAACCGGCCUUCCUCGACACCGCCCCCUUUCCUCCUCCUUUGUCUCUGUUGAUCCUGUGUAUCAACAAAUUUAUUGUAACCUACUAUUAGUAUUUUGAUAUAUGAAAUAUGAAAUUUAAAUAUUAAAAAAAAACAAUUAUUUGUAAAACUUAAUUUGAGUAUAUAAAUUAUAUUUUAAAUAUAUAACAUUGGUUUCUAAAAUAUACAAUUUGAUUAACAAUGGAUUAUAAUUAGUUAAAUAUCUUAAAUAUAAUUCAUUCAACUCAAUGAACUUUUGUUUCUUAGUAUUAGGGGAUCUUUAAUUUCGCACUUUUUCUUUAGAAUUUUGAGGUACACCCACUACAGUCUAUAAUAUAUAACUUAGCCUUAAAUCAUGGUCCAAAUGCUACAAUGUUGACAACUUGGGAAAUCACUACAAAAUUCCUAGGCUUUUAAUAUCAAAUCUAACGUAAUUUGGAGUUUAAUUAAUCUCAAAUUUCAUUGAAAUUAAAUUUAGGUUUGGUUUUAGUUGUCACGAUAAUUUGAGUUUCCUUAAUUUAAUUUUCCUCAAAUUGAGCUUAAUAAAUGUUGCAGCUAUAUAGAUCUAAUUCGAUUGAAAAGAAUGAACAAAAGUGAUUUAAUUUAUAAUUUAUAAUAUAAACGUUAGGUUAGGGAAACUUUUAAACAAAUUAAUCGUUUGUUGUUCAUUGUAUUAUUGAUUUUUCCAUUUUAAAAUUUUCUUUGCUAUUCAUAAGAUUUAUAACAUUUAUAAAUAAAAUUUUUAUUUUAUUUAAAUAUUUUGUUAAAUAAAUUUAUUUAAAAGGAAGGUUUGACACUUAUAGAGGAAAAACGUUAAAAUUUAUAUUAAUUUAUUUUUUAUUUUUUCAUAAGCAAGAAAUAUAAAAGAAAAUUAUAUAAUUACUUUAUUUUUAAAUAUUAAAAUUUAAUUAUGUAUAUCAUAACUAACUCUUAACUUCUUAUUUAUUAAAGAUUCCCUUUUUUUAAUUAAAUUUAUGUGAAUGUUUUUAAAUGCUAAAUAUUUUUUUUUUAAAUUCUCCUUUUUUCUCUAAGUCUGAUUAUUUUUUCUAUUUUGUUUUGCUUAACCGCGAUGUUAACUUUUGGGCCGGCUACUAUCCACCUUUUUUCUCUCCCUCUCAUCAAUUUUCUCGUUUUUUUUUCUUAUUCUCAUUCACUCUAUGUGUUUUCUCUCUUUUAGUUUGCAGAUCUAUUUUGUGGAUGUCUCUGCUGUCUUCACAAGUUGUGAUAGACAAAUGACAUUGCCUAUCGUCACUGAAACUCCACCAGCCAUCAACAGUUUCUCUUGGAAAGUGGGUGGCUUUUUAUCAGCUUCUUAAUUUGUUUCUAUUUUGAAAGUAUUUCAGAAUAAUAAAUGAUUUCACGAGUCGAUUUGGACCCGUCUUAAGUUUUAUAUGUUCUUUUGUUUAUUUUUAUUAUUUAGUAAGUUUUCACUUUUAGAGAUUUUUGUUUACUUUUGUAGCACGUUUUUAGUCUUAUUUUAUGCAUGUAAUCUUGCUUUUACAAGUGAUUUUAAGGAUGGUUUUGUCGUCGUCCUCUCCAAUUUAAUUGAUGCUCGAUUUUUACCCGUCGCUUUGGACCGUUCAAAGUUGAUUCCUUAUCCUAUUAAGUGUUUGCAAUCACUCUAGAUAUAUCAUCCUUGAGUUGUGGCAGAGUCAAUUGCCAAUGUGUCAUAAUGUUCUAUGAUGCUGAGGUUGAAGCCUUUGUUGUAUUAAUAGAGCUUGUCAUGUACCACUUACAACAAGUAAUUAUUAAUUUUUUUUUUUUUUGAAUUAUAUAGUUCCAUUCUUUCAAUUUCUUUUUUAUUCGCGAAGGUUACCUUUCAACUAUGAGUUGAAAAACUAUUCAGUCUACUGAUAACAAAUUUGAAAGAUGAACUUUUAGUUUUGAACUCUUAUAUUUAGUUGGUAAAAAGGGAAUUUUUAGUUAAUAAACGUUUAUUUAAUUUCAAUGUAAAAUAAGGAAGAAGAGAAAAAUAGAAAAGAAAGGAAAACAUAAACAUAUAAUUUUAUAUGAAAAUGAACAGAAUUAAACGUAAACGCAAGGAAGAAGAGAGCUAUGGUGACGUGAUGACUAGAAAUUAGUUGUAUCUCUAAAAUUCAUACUGACUUCAAUAAAAAAAAAUCAAAAUUAAGAUAUUUAUCAAUGGAUUAAUUCUUUUUUCGUAAGCACUUUCUAAAAAGAUAAACGAUUGGUCAUGAAAUCUUGUUUUAUUUUGAUGGGCAGAGAUCAAAUCCAUUAUCACAUGGUUAAGGGAUAAAGUAAACAACUACUGCGGAUAAUAAUAGUAAAAUAGAAAAAAUUAUCUUUAACAUACUUAACUUUUUUAACUAACUAGAAAUUUAAUAUUGAUCAAUAAAAAAAUGUAAAACUAUUUAGUUUUACAUGGGUAAGUAUUAUAAUUACCAAUCAAAUACUUGAACUAAAAGCAAACAGAAUAAAUUUCAAGUAUGAAGAUUGGAGGAAUAAUUGAAAAAAAGAAAAGAAAAAGAAAUCAAGCUGGUGGACAUCCAAAGCCACUCCUUCCAAGUUCUUGCAUAUGCCACAGCCUAUAAAUUAUUACAUAACUUCGUUGUCAGGUUUAACAAUAAUUGUUAUUUUAAUGAUUUUACAUUUGAUAUAUCAUCAUAGUCAAUAUUAAUAAGUAUUUUAUUAUUUUAUGCAAUAAUGCAACUAGAUCUUGAGGGAUUAAUAAAUGGAGCCGAUGGCCCCUCUAAGUAGCAAAUAGCUGGCCACUAAUUAUCGUAUUUUGAAGUCUCUUUCUUCAUAAAAUAAAAUAAAUCAAUUAAGCAGUUUAAGCCUUGCUUAAUGCUUGUUAAGAAAAUCCUUUGUUUUAAAUCUUUUUUUGUGUUAUGGUUUGAAAAUCUCAAGGCUAAUGUUGGAGUAUUGGGUGUCAAGCCAUCUCCGUGCUUCCUGCCAGGGUUUAAUAAUAAAAUUGUUUACUUUAAAUAAAAAAACACCGUUUAUGUAGACUGAAACUUGGACAAAAGAUUUCACAAAUUUGGUCUCUCUUCCUUCAAAAUAACUAUUUAAUAAUUACAUUAUUUUGAAUGACCUACGAUUUUGACCGUCAACAGGUUUAACAUUGAGUUAAAGUAUUUUUAUUCGAUUUUAUCUUUGAAUUUUAUUUUUCAAUUUUAAUGAGAGUCCGUGUUAAUAAAAAUGGCACUUCACAAAUUUCUCUCUAAAUGAUCAAAAUUACCUCAACAAACAUGUAUUUUCUUAGAGUUGAGUGACUCAAAUCCUUAUUAAAAUAAAAUACAGUGGUAAAAUAAAAUAAAAGUAAAAUUCAUAUAGAAUUAUACUUCUUUUAUUUUACAUUGAUUAGAAUAAGGUUUUUCAACCUUACUAUACUUUAUCUAAUUGACAUUGAUUAGAAUAAGGUUUUUUCAACCUAUAAAUAGAUGUAGUCUAAACUCCUCUUGUAUCAUUCAAAUUCAACAUUAGUAAAUUUUCUUCUCCCCUACCCGUGGUUUUUUCCUGAAAGGGUUUCCACGUAAAAUCUGUGUGUUUUUAUUUUUUCCUUCUUUUUACUUUGAGAUCAUUCUAUAUUGUCAUUAUCAAUGUUAGUUUUUACAAACUGGUAUCAGAGCUUUUCAGGUUGCUUAUCUUGAUCACGGUAAUAGCGACAUUGAAGUAUGAUAUUCUGCUGUUGGAUCGCAAUACCAGAUUCAUGUUGUGGCAAAUAAAGAUGCAAGCAGUUCUUGCGCAAAUAGAUUUAGAGGAUGCCUUGCUAGGGGUAAAUAAGAUGCCUUCAAUAUUGAAGGAUAAAGAGAAGAAGCGUAAAGAUCGAAAAACUUUAAAGCAAUUACAUCUACAUUUUUCGAAUGAAAUUCUACAAGACAUGAGGAAGGAGAAAACCGCUGCAAAUCGAUUUUAGUUGCACCUUUCAUAUGAGUCCCAAUUAGGAUUGGUUUACAAUAUAUGAAACAAUGUUUGAAGGUGUUGUUUUGAUGGGAAAUAAUGCUUCAUGUAAAAUCACAGGUAUUGGCACGAUCAAAAUUAAAAUGUUCGAUGGAGUCGUCAAAACACUUAGUGGGAUAUGAUAUGUACUGUAAUUGAAGAUGAAUUUGAUUUCAUUGCGUAAUCUUGAUUCAAAAGGGCACAAGUAAAUAACUGAAAGUGGGGUUUUAUAAUUAGCAAGGGUGUAACACCCUAAACCCGGCCUAGACAUUAUGGUCGAAUCUGGCGAUGUCACAUGGAAUGGGAUUUGAAGAUAAGAUUGUCGAGUUAAAAUCGUUACAGUUAGUUAGCUUUUAUUUACUUCAAAAAAAAUAAGUGCUAGUUGAUUUGCUUUAAAACUUGUCCCUUAGCGGAAGCUUUUGUAACCAAUUAAUUUAGGGAAAAUCAUUUAUAUUUACGAAAACCUUAGUUUUUAGACAAAUCGUGUUUUGUUGAGUUGCAGUUUAAAAAUAAUCCAUAAAAACAGUAUAAAGUCCCAAAUUUAAAGCCAACCAAUCCAUAGUCCAAAAUUUAUAUCAAAAACACCAAAUAAGUACUAAAUUCUAGACAUUAACGGAAAAUAGUCUAAAAUUUAUGUGUGGCCACUGUCGAGCCCUUCGCUGCACAGACCUGUCAAGUCUGGGGAAUAUCUGUACAGAUUAGAUAGAAAAAGGUGAGUGUUCAUAAACUCAGUAUGUAAUCCCCACAGAAAACAUGCAUACAGAUAUUCAACAGCAUUCUAUUAGAUACAGUCUGGGGCCUGGGCCCAUCAUAGAAUUAGUUUGGACCUUAGCUCGUUCAAAUACAGUCUCAGAAAUACAUUAGGGCCUUGACCCAUAUUAGAUACAAAAUGCAGAUACAGUAAAUUAGAAUCCUACCCACCAACCUCUACACAUCAUCUCCGUCCAACCCUACACACCAUAUGGGGAUUAAAUCAACUCACCCAUCCCUACACACCAUGCUGUACCGAAAUGCGGCACAUAAUCAGAAAGUUGCAACUGAGCUGCCAGAUAACAGGCUUAAUAGCCUUUCAGACACUUCCUCCAAAUAUCAUCAACCCACCCCGAUGCAAUGCAUCAUGCAAAAUAUGCCAUGCCAUUAUGCAAUUAAUAGUACAUAUAUUCAGAUAUCAUAAGUCAUGCUCGGUAUAGAAAUCAAACAGACAGAUCACACAUAUAGGGGUCUAAGUAAAGCUUACUGACCCUACAGUAGGUCCACAGUCGACUUGGACGACCCGUGUAACCUUACAGAACUUUUCAGAAAAAUGGGCUCACACGCCCAUGUGGCCUGCCCGUGUGGCCCAUUCGGCCAAAUUACCCUUGGUCGCAUGGUCCAUUUUUAAUGUAACAUGUGCUAGCUAAAUAUUCAUAUAUAUUUUCACUAUUUACUUAUACGUUCCUUCAAAGCUGUCUACUUGAGUCACUGUUACUAAAUUAUUUAUAUCUUGAGCCACAGAAUUCCAAAUUAAGAUUUGCUCAAUGUCUUUAAAACUAGACUCAAAUACCUUUCUACCAUAAAAUUUUCAAAAUUUUUGGUUCAUCCAAUAAGUAUAGUAAAAUCUUCAAACUUACCCUUGUUUUGUUGUCUGACAGCUUCAACCUUUCUUUACUAAAAAUUAAUUAUCUCUCAGUAAAAAAUUUGGAUGAUAUUUCCAUUUGUUUCUAUUGAAAAUAGACUUAUUAAUAAUUUAAACAUGUAAAUUUUAACCCCUAAUUAUUUUUCUCCAAUUUUUGAUGAUUUUCCAAAGUCAGAACAGGGGAACCUGAAUUCAUUUUGACCUUGUCUCACAAAAUUUAUUAUAUCUCACGAUUUACAAUUCUAUUACUUACAUCGUUUCUUCUAUGAGAAACUAGACUCAAUAAGAUUUAAUUUCAUAUUUGUUCAUUCUCUAAUUCGAUUUCCACAAUUUAUGGUGAAUUUUCAAAUUUAGCCUGCUGCUGCUGUCCAAACAGUAAGCAAUUUUGACUUUUUGUCGAACCCCAUUUUCUGUGUUUCGGGUACAUACCUAGUUUUGUUUGAUGCUAAAACAGUCCUUGAGCACUCCAAAGCCUAUAAUUGAACAAAUAACACUAAUUUAAUCUCCUAUAACGUGAUCCCAAAUCGAACUCGUAUCGAGGUUUUAACCCAUAAGCGACUAAACCUUACCUUAAACUGAUAAACAAUAAUUCCCAUACAAACUAAGACUCUGAUUGGUGAUUAUCCCUUGAACCCUCCCCUAAUUGGCAUAAAUAAAACACUUCAGAAGAAAGUUAACAAAUGGAGACAAAUCACUUAUCUAAAACUUACCGAACGAUCGUAGACAAACGUGGAGCGACACGAGGCAGAGUGGGAAAAGAAAAAUCAAGAAGAUGAAGGGUAACAAAGAACAGAAAUUCGACAGCAAUGAAGAGAAAAACGACAAGAGGGUGGAGGGAUAAUGGGAAAAGUAAAAAACAAAAAACAAAAAAAAGACAAAUAGAAUAUUUGAUAACCACCCUAAUCCCUUAUUUCUCUCCUUCAAACUCCCCACUAAAUCCACUACUCAGAUUUUUAGUCCAUCUCAAACUCUCCUGGACGCACGAGCAAAAAUAAUGCCCAUACCAAGAUUCGAACACAGGACCUCCUUCACACCAACAUUCCACUUAUUCACCAAACCAGCAGGCCCAUUCUGUUAAUUAUUUGCCAACUUUUACUUAAAAACCUACUGACCAAAGAUAGAGCUUAUUCAUACAAAUACCAAAAUUUGCUCAAGUCCUAGCUUGAACUUGGGACUUCCCAAACACACCCAGAACACAUAACCACUAAAGCAGAUAGAUAUUUUGAGUCACACAUUCACAAUACCCAAAAUUAAAAUUUUGGGGUGUUACAAAAGGUUCGUUCAUUGUGAUGAAAGGGCAGAUAAAGACUAUCAAGUUAUAUGUUUUGCAAGGUUCUAUUGUUACUAGUGAUGCAAUCGUCGCUUCCUCCUCCUUGUCAGAUGAUGAUGUUACUAGACUUUGACAUAUGCAUCUAGGGCAUAUAAGUGAAAAUGACAUCGCAGAAUUGAGCAAAAGAUGACUUCUUGAUGAACAAAGCAUUAGCAAACUGAAGUUUUGUGAGCAUUACAUUUUUGGGAAGCAAAAGAGAGUUCGAUUCACCAAAUGAAUCCAUAACACGAAGGGAGCACUGGAUUAUAUUCAUUUUGAUCUUUGGGGACCAUCGAGGGGUGGCGUUAAUUAUAUGUUAAUGACCAUUGAUGGUUUUUCCAGAAAAGUUUUUGCAUCCUUCCUGAAGCAGAAAAGUGACGUGUUUUCUGCGUUUAAGGCUUGAAAAACUAUGCUCGAGAAGCAAAAAGGAAAACAGAUAAAACACCUUCGCACAGAUAAUGGCUUGGAAUUCUACUCUGAUGAGUUUAAUAAAUUGUGCAUAUCAGAAUGAAUCAUGAGACACUUGAUAGUUUGUCAUACUCUAUAACAAAAUGGCAUUACAAAACGGAUGAAUAGAACAAUCAUGAAAAAUGUAACGCCUCAAAUUUUUGAACUGUUUUUUGUUAAUUUCUGUUAAUAAUUAACUAUCUACUUCAGUGGCUAAGUGUUUUGUUUGUGUGUUUGAAAUCAGGGGUUCAACUAUCGCUUUUAGAUACUUUUGUUAUUCUUUUGAUUCAACAUUUACUCUGGACUUUUGACUUAAGUUAAAUUAUGUGUAAAUUUGUAUCAAGAAUAAGCCUGUUGGUUCAAUCAUUAAGCUCUUGUAUACCUUUGGUCUUAUGCUUGAGUCUCUACGAAAGCAAUAAGAAAAUAUUUUAUACUAAUUCGUAAAAUUUGAUUUUUUUUAAUUUAUGAAAUCAUUUUUCGAUUUUCCCUUUUCAUAUGUUUUUACGUUUUUGUUUUCUUUUUCUUUUUUCUUUUUCCCUUUUUCCUUUCUUCUUAUUGUUUUCUUUUCUCCUUUAUUUUGUUUUCGUUCCCUUUUAUUUUUUUCAUUAAUCUUGCUACUAUUUUAUCGAAGGAAUUGUGUAGUUGUUGUAUUCGACUGUUAAGUUAUCAGCGUAAGUUGGUUGUUAAAGUUCUGUUAACAUUGCUUGUUUGUUAAUUGUCAAAUCGAAUUUUUCUGUUCGUUUUGUUUAAUUGCUCUUUUUUAAAUGUUUAAUUUGUUCUUGUUCUUAGGUGAAGAGACUGCUUGUCAAGAUCCUCCACCAGUUUAGGUGCUUGGGUUGAUGUUUUUCAAACAAGGGUAUGCGAUAAGUUGUAUUUAGGGUUUUUGGGUCGAAAGUUUGACAAAACUUUGAUCGUGAAUGCAUUUGUUGUUGAAUUAGUUUGGAAAUCAUUUGAUUGAGCAACUGGCUUUUUUUUUUUAGGUUCCGGUACUAUCUGCGCUGCUUCCUUAUUGAAACCAUAUCAAGUGUAUAAUAAAAACCCAAAUUUUAGCGAUUUUUGAACAUCGAAAAACAUGGUUGUCCACGCCACACGACCGUAUGCCAUGUAACUCACUGUUUAGAAUUUAUAGUCACACGGGCUAAAGACACGGACAUGUGUCCAGGCCAUGUAAUUCAUUGUUUUGAAUUUAGGGUCAAACGGGCCAGAGACACGGGCUUGUGUCCAAGCCGUGUAACUCACUGUUUUGGGAAUUUGAGUCAUACUGCCGUGUGCUAGGCCGUGUGACAGGUUGUAUGUGUUAAUGAGCUAGGCUACAUGGAUAUGUGCUAGGCCAUGUAGACCACAUGGGCCAGCCAUCUUGGUCGUGUGAAUCUACACGAGUGUGUGUGUAAAAAAUUAAAAAUUUUCCCUAGGGCCGUAAUUGUCAUUCGAAUCGAACAUAGGCCUUCCGUAGGGUUAGUAAGCUCUGAAUUAGGCUAUAAAACUUAUUAUCUGAUGAUUUUUUAGUGGAAAUUUAUUUAUAUGAACAUAUAUCUACUGGGUUAAUUGAUGAGCAAGCAUGUUUUAUAUUGUCUGGAUCUGUACCACUGUAUACGCAUGUUUGAUAUCUAUUAAUCAUGCAUCCGCAUUGGGAUAAGAUAUGUGAUAAAGAAGGAAGUGUGGACAAUUUAAUUAUCUGUUGAUUCUGGUGGUUAAGCCACAUAUACAUUUCUGAUUCUAGCAAGUUAUUACAUUCGAUCUGGCAGCUAGUCUGUAAUGUUCUGAAUGUAACUUACAGUCACUAUCAGGUGUGUAGGGAUGGAUGGGUAUUUGAUGCCCUAUUUAGUGUGCAAGGGUGGUUAAAGAUGGUGUGUAAUGGAUAAGGUAGGACUCUACAUUUGUAUCUGAAUUUGUAAUUGUAUCUGAUAUGUUUUGUAUCUAAAUCUGUAAGUGUAUCUGGUAUGUUCUGUAUCCAUUUCUAAUUAUGAUAUUCGACUAAAUAAUAUCUCAAAGUAAGAUCGAGACUGUUUGUACUUAAUUAGUUUAUAAGUUCUACAUUUAAUAUAUAAACUCACUUCAACUAUUGUUUAAAUUUCAGGUAAUCCUCAGAGUUGAUCGUCGGUGUGUCGGAAGCUUGGUCAUAUUGUUUAAUUAACUUGUUAUGUUAUUUGGUUUUACGUUGUUACUAUCUUAUUGGGUUUGUAGAUUUUAAAUGCUGGAUUUUGUAUUUUGAUUAUAAACUUGUAAAUGUCUUAAGUUGAUUGAAGUCUAAUUAUUAAAGGUUGGAUUUUUUUUGAAAGAGUUGAUGUAGCUCUCCAUACUUGGUCAUAUCGUCUAAGUCAAUUUUGAGGUGUUACAUUUAGUAGUAUCAGAGCUAGGUUUACCAAAAAUCGGGCUGUGUUUUCUGGGCACCCGUUUUUAUGAAAACUAUGGUUUUGAAUAAAAUGUUUAUCUGAUUAAAUCUGAAAACUUAUUUUAUAAAAGACUGACUUUCUAGCGCCGAACCUGUAAGUACUUCUGCUUUAGCUAUAAUAAUUAGCUAAAAAAUAUUGUAGUAACUGGAAUUGUUGGCUUUGGUUAAAGAUUGUGAUAUAAACUGUGAAAUAAGAUAUUUGAUAAGAAUUUUGAACUGAUCUGUACACUUCUUACAUUGUAGAUAAGUUGAUAUAAUGAGUUUGCAAGGUAGCCGUAGAUAUGGUUCUCGUGGGCGUUGAGGACAAGCUCAAGUAGAGUCAUCCUCUAUGGUCAGUAUGCCCAAUCUAGAGAUCGAUGAGACUUUUGGUACUCCUACUACUGAGACUGGGUUUCAAACUUCGACAGCUAGGGAUGACGUAUUGUUCUAGACUAUGCUUCGUAUAUUAGAGAGGGUCGCUGGGAUCCAUUCUGGAUCUAAGAGCCGAGGGUCGGUCACUGAACGACUUCGAUCAAACGGUGUUAAGUUGUUUAGGGGUGUCACUAGAGUCGUCCUACAGUGGCCGAGUACUGGUUAGAGACCAUCGAGCGUAUUAUGAAUGGCAUUAACUGCACUCCUGUAUAGAAACCAAGGCAUGCCAUAUCUCUACUCCAAGAUAAGGCUUACCAGUGGUGGUUGACUGUUGAGUAGGGCGCCUAGUUCGAAAAAAUUACUUGGGAUUUCUUCAAGAAUGCCCUUCAGAGUAAGUAUAUGGGGACGAGUUAUAUGGAGACUCGUAGACGUGAGUUUAUAAGCUUAGUUUAGGGUGAGAGGUUUGUGGCCGAGUACGAGGCUAAGUUUCUGAGAUUGAGUAGGUACGCUUGCGGUUUGGUUCUGAACGACUAUGAGAGGAGUAUUUGGUUUGAAGAGGGACUAAUAUAUAAUUUGAGAGUUCUGAUAGCUCUUCAGAGGGAGCGGGUUUUUGCAGCCUUGGUUUACAAUGUGAAGAUAGUUGAGGAGAUGAAGCGCAUGAGAAUGAGAGGAGAGACCAACAGAGAGGUCAGAGUAAGCUCAAGAGGGAUUCGGGUCCUUUUAGCUCUGUGCAAUGGCCUAAGAAAUGAGUUAGAUUUGAUGGGCCUUUGAGGACUAAGACAUCAGCUGCAACGGCUGAGAUUCAGACCUAUAGUGAUUGUGGGAAUUGCUAUCCGGGUGAGUGUUGGAGGAAAUUGGGGGCUUGUCUUCGGUGCGAGUCGAUGGAGCAUUAUGUUCAGGACUGUUCCUUACAAUCUAAUCAAGAGUAAGCUUUUGUAUAGGCUCCAACUCUAGGUGUCAUUUAGCCGCUGAGAGUAGCCCAGUAGCCACCUAGGGGUCAUGGUAUAGUUAGGGGUGAUAAUGGCUCUGAUCAAGGUUAGAGAGUACCGAGCAGAUGUGUAGGUCAGAUUGAGGUAUGAUAGCCUGCCCUUGAGUAUACGACGAGGCAUCGUGAGGACAGAAACGACGCCAACUUUAUAGCCGGUACAUUCUUUAUUCACUAUGUUCAGUAUUUUGCUCUGAUAGAUAUUGGAUCCACUCACUCAUAUGUAGCUAGUACUGUUUCUGGGUAUAUUUGCUGAUAGUACUACUAGAGAUACUUAUGUAAUUAGUCCCUUGGGUUAGAUGGUCAUAGUUAAUAAAGUGUAUAGACGAGUUUUGUUAGAGAUUCAAAGUGUUGUGUUUCUGGCUAACCUGAUGAAAUUGUUGUUUGGAGAGUUUGAUCUGAUUCUAGGAAUGGAUUGGCUGGUGGAACAUUGAGUCAAUUUAGAUUGUGCCUCAAAAAGGGUAACUCUGAGAUUGGAUGAGGAUACCAAGAUCGUUAUAGUAAGUAAGUGUUGAAAUUACCUCUCUAAUGUAAUCUCUGCCUUUAUAGCUGAAAAGCUAGUUGGGAAAGGUUGUAAAGCAUACUUGGCCCUUGUUCUAAUUCUGUAAAACUUUCUAUUAAAGGCAUUUGUACUGUAAGAUACUUUUCAGAUGUUUUCCCUGAAGAGUUGUCGAGGAUACCUCCGGUCAGGGAAGUUGAGUUUGAUAUUGAAUUGCUACCCGGUAUUCGUGUCUAUUGCUCCUUACCACAUGGCACUAAAGGAGCUUAUGGAACUAAAGGUCCAGCUUUAGGAACUUCUCGAUCGAGGGUUCAUUAAGCCGAGUGUGUCUCUGUGGGAGCAUCGGUUUUAUUUGUGAAGAAAAAUGGUAGCACGAUAAAGAUGUGUGUGGAUUAUCGUCAGCUGCAUAAAUUGACGGUAAAAAACAUGUAUCCAUUUUCGAAGAUUGACGACAUGUUUAAUAAAUUUUGAAGAGCAUCUGUAUUCUACAAAAUCGAUCUUUAUUCUAGAUACCAUCAGCUCAAGGUUAAGGAGACCGAUGUGUACAAGACUGCUUUUAGAACUCGUUGAUUGAACUCUAAUUAUUAAAGGUUGGAUUUUUUUUGAAAGAGUUGAUGCAGCUUUCCAUACUUGGUCAUAUCGUCCAGGAAGGGUUUUGGGUGUUACAGAAAAGGUUCAAUGUAUGUUGUCGAAUGUUUGUUUACUGAAGUCGCUUUGGACUAAAGUGGCCUCUACUACAUGAUUUUUGACUAACUAGUCUCCAUUUGUUGUCAUUAAGAAAAAGACUCCACAAGAGGUAUGGUUUGGUAACCCUGCUGAUUAUUCUGAUUUUAAAAUUUUUGAGUGUCCCACGUAUACUCAUAUUGAUAAUGGGAAAUUGGAACCUAGAUUCAUUAAAUGUUUUUUUCUCUUAAUUAUAAUACUGGUGUUAAAGGGUAUAAGUUAUGGUGUCCUGAAAAUAGAAAAGUUGUGAUUAGUAGAGAUGUUAUUUUUUAUGAAACUGCUAUGCUACCUAACUUAUCUCUUAAAGACUCUUCCAAUAAAGACCAUAAAAAGUAGGUGGAGCUUCAGAUUGAUUUAGGAUCUAAAACAGUGUCUACUCCUCAAGUUAGUAUAGAAACUCAAAGUAGAGUUGUUUCUUCACCAUAAUAUUUUAUUGUCAAGAAUAGGCCUAGAAGAGAAAUUAAACCUCCAAAGAGGUACGUCGAAAUUGAUCUAGUUGCUUAUGCUUUAAAUGUGGCUGAAGAUAUAGAUGCAAAUCAAGAGCUAUCUACUUAUUCCAAGGCAGUUGGUUGUGAAGAUUCAGAGAAGUAGAUGAUUGUCAAACAAGAAGAGAUGGAAUCACUCCAUAAGAACAGACCAUGGGAUCUAGUUAAGCUUCCUAAAGGUAAAAAAGUUGUUCAAUGUAAAUGGGUGUUCAAAAAGAAAGAAAGAACUCCAGGAGUUGAAAACCUCAAAUUUAAAGCAAGGUUGGUUGCAAAAGGUUACAGUUAGAUUCCAGGUGUAGACUUCACAGAUGUGUUUUCUUUAGUUGUGAAACAUAGUUCGAUUCAAGCCUUACUUGGUAUUGUGUCCAUGUAUGAUUUAGAGCUUAAGCAGUUAGAUAUAAAAACAUCGUUCUUGUAUGGAGAACUUGAGGAAUAUAUUUACAUGCAACAACGAAAGGGUUUUACAGUCUCAGACAAGGAGGACUAUGUUUGCUUGUUGAAAAAGUUCUUUUAUGGGUUGAAACAAUCACCAAUGUAGUAGUACAAAAGGUUUGAUUCUUUUAUGACUACUCAUGAUUUCAAAAGAAGCAACUUUGACAGUUGUGUUUAUUUAAAAAAAAACAGUGAUGGUUUUUUUGUUUAUCUACUCCUCUAUAUUGAUAACAUUAGGAUAGCAGUCAAAAAUAAAUGAGAGAUAAGAAAUGUCAAAGCCUAGCUUAGUAAAUAAUUUGAAAUGAAUGGUUUAGGAGUAGCGAAGAAGAUACUUGGGAUAGAGAUUCUCAGAGAUAGAAAAUCAUGUAAAUUGUACCUAAGUCAGAAAGGGUACAUUGAGAAAGUUCUUUGUGGAUUCAAUAUGCAAAAUGCCAAGCCUAUUAAUACUACAUUAGCAACCCACUUUAGACUUUCAUCAGCUUUGUCUCCGUAAUCAGAUGAUGAGAUUGACUUCAUGUUACAUAUUCUAUAUUCUAGUGCAGUGGGGUCUCUCAUGUAUACUAUGGUUUGCUCACGUCCAGAUUUGUCAUAUACAGUUAAUGCAGUUAGUAGAUACAUGGCAAAUCCCGAUAAAGAACAUUGGAAAACAAUUCAGUGGAUUUUCAUAUACUUACGAAGUAUUAAUGAUGUUUGCAUAUAGUUUGGAAGAACUAGAGAUGAAGUCAUUGAGUAUGUUGAUUCUGAUUUUGCUAGAGACCUUGAUAAAAGAAGAUCUCUCACAGGGUAUGUCUUUACUAUUGGGGGUUGCACAAUCAGUUGGAAAGUCACUUUACAAACUACAAUUGCUUUGUCUACUACUGAAGCUGAGUACAUGAUGAUUACUAAGACUUGUAAAGAAGUUAUUUGGUUAAAGGGACUCUUUGGUGAACUCAGUAAAGACCUUCAGAUCAGUAUAGUGUUUUGUGACAGUUAGAGUACCAUAUUCCUUACGGAGGAUCAAAUGUUUCCUGAGAGAAUCAAGCACAGUGAUGUUAGGUAUCAUUUUGUGCGUGAUAUUAUUGCUCGUGGUAAUAUUGUUGUGAGCAAAAUUAGUAGUCAUGAAAAUCCUGCAGAUAUGAUGACUAAGUCACUUUCUAUAACCAAGUUUAAGCAUUGCUUAGACUUGCUUGGUGUUCGUUGUUGAAGAACACCCCUUAAGGUGUUUCGUGGAAGAGGUGGAGAACUUGUUCGUUGAGAAUUCGUGUAAAUGUGGAGAUUGUUAGAGUUGAGUGACUCGAAUCCUUGUUAAAAUAAAAUAUAAUGGUAAAAUAAAAUAAAAGUAAAGUUCAUAUAGAAUUAUACUUCUUUUAUUUUACAUUGAUUAGAAUAAGGUUUUUCAACUUUACUACACUUCAUCUAUUUGACAUUGAUUAGAAAAUGUUUUUUCAACCUAUAAAUAGAUGUAGUCUAAACUCUUCUUGUAUCAUUUGAAUUUGACAUUAGUGAAUUUUCUUCUCCUUUACCCGUGAUUUUUUCCCGAAAUGAUUUUCAUAUAAAAUUUGUGUUCUUAUUUUUUCUUUCUUUUUACUUUGCGAUCGUUUUAUAUUGUUAUUAUCGAUGUUAGUUUCUACAUAUACCAUAUGAGGUAAUAUUAAAUUGUAGUUAAAAAAUAAAAGUUAAACGUUAAGGUGAAUGAUGUGAUAUUUGUUAAAAAUAAAAGAGAUUUAUGAGUGAAUUAAAUUAAACAAAAAUAUAUAUUUACAUGUAAAAAAAAAGUUUUGAUAUUUUUGUUAUAAAAGUUUUUAAAAAUUUCAUAACCGAAUUUAUAAAGCUGUUACGUGCUUUUUAUUUAUUAGUUAUUAUAUUUUUAUUGUUUAAUACUAUUCGUGAAAUUUUUUAAUUUUACAGGCUGGUAAUAGAUAGAAUAAUAAACUUUAUAAAAUUUAAUCUUAAAAUAUAUAAAAUUAAAUUUAACCUAACACCUUCUUUUUACAAAAUUCAAGAACAUGUAAUACGUUAAGCUAAAACUGGUGGAUUUUGUCUCGAAACUCACACACAAAAUGGAAACACUGAUGGGCUAAUUAUUUUUCCAGGCUAAAGAUGGGCUAAUUUCAUUAAAUGAAAAUAAUGGGCCAAGCUCUAAUGUUAAUUCUUUUGCCCAUAGAUUCACCCUAUUGAACUAGCCAUACCAAGGAACCACAUGUAUUUGUCUUCUCCUGCAUAUAUGAUUAGGGAUGCUGGUCUACAUAAUCAUGACGGAUGUAUAUAACAACAAAAUUAAUGGUGUGGCACCUUGCAUUCAACUUAUCUAAAUAUGAGAUGUUAUAUUUAUUGUCGGAGCAAUUCAAAUUAUUAUCAUCUAUUUUCUUAAAGUUAAAUAAAUGAGCUUGACAUAAUUCAUAAAUAUUAUCUUGUACACAUGAAUGAGGUUAAACGAACCUACAUUGACUCACAAUCAUACGAGAUCGAGUAUGGAGUCAAGAUACGAAUCCUAAUUUAACUUUAUCAAAAUAGAGGGUUGUGUCUCGAGACAUGUUUUUCUUGUUUCAGACCUCUAGCUUUGAAGUAUGAUUUCUCGAGACAAUGUAGUUAAUGUCUCAAGACAAUGACCUUUAUGUUUUGAGACUUAUCUCUUCUGUUUUACACUCUUAAUUUUAAUGUUGUCUAUCUCGUGAUAAAGUACUAUAUAUGUUUUGAGAUUUGAUAAUAUGUGUCUCGAGACAUGUUUAUUAUAUAUUGAGACUACUGUCAUACAUGAAAUAAUGGAAAUUAUUAAGAAUAAAUAAAUAUAUGAAUGAAAUAAAGAGUGAAAUAAACAUUAGUGUUUAAAUUUUGAGUAACAUUGAUUUAAAAUUCCAUCUCAAACUCUAACCAUAUAUUCUUUUUAUUAUAAAAGAUUUGCAAUAGAUUGAGAAGAUUUAAUUAAGCUUACAAAUGAAAAAAAAAUAUUAAUAUUAUGAUUAUGAAAUUAAUACGAAAAAAAAAGUAAAAAAUAAGCAUGGUAAACUUUCUGCUGCUGGCAUCGUCACCGUAUUCAUUUGCAAUGAUAACCCUGAUAAAUAUUUUCCGACAUAAAUUAUAAAUAUUUGAGGUAUUAAAUUUAAUUUAAUCAUCGUAUUAAUAGGUUUAAUUAGAUGUUAUUUAAAUCAGAUUAAAAUUCAAUAUUUAAAGUAUUGUAUUCAAUGGUGAAGUUAGGAUUGGUAAGGGCAUUACUUUAAAAUGGAAUUUUUUUUAUUUAAUUCUCUUUAUAAUUUAUAAAAUUUUAAAUUAAUAAUGAUAAAAUUACACUUUGACCUUAAAAAUAAUAAAAAUUUAAUUUAAUCUCUUAAAAAUUAUAAAUAUAUACCAUUUAAUUUUUACCCAAAAAAAUUUCUCACCCUGACUGCAUCCCUAAUCAUAUAUGCAUAAGAACACAAGUACAUGUUCCUCGGUAAUGCUAGUUCAAUAGGGUAUUGUUGCAUUAGAUUUUGUGAAUCAAUGGUAGCCAGGCCCAUUAUUUUCUUUUAAUGAAAUUAGCUUGCGCCAUCUUUGGGCUUGAAAAAUCAUUAGCCCGUCAGAGUUUCCGGUUGUUUGUGUGUUUUGGAGACAAAAUCCAGCAGCUCUAGCUGAAUGUAUUACAUCUGUUCUUACCGAAUGACUUUCAGUUUGUCAUAAUGUAUCUUUAAUCAUAACAAUCAUAUGAAUCUUUGUUUUGCCUGUUCAUGGCAGUUUAUCUGGAUUUAGAAGUUCAGAUGGUAAUGGAAUUCCAGGGAUAUGUUUCCAUAUCAAGGAAUGUCAAAAACUCAAAAUUGAUGGGAAAAGAAAAGAGCUGCAAAACCCAGAUAAUUUGCAUGCAAUUCCAACUUGUGCAUCGAUGGACAUGCUUAUCCACAAAAGGCCAAGGCGAUGAGGCAUGAAAACUUCUAAAGUUGCUGCAUGUUUGAGAUUGUAAAUUUGUUGGUAAUCCCAUGAAGUCUUCAUGGAUUCUGAUUCUAGUACACCUCAUACUAACCAUGAGUCUAUUGGUUCUACCAAGUUUAAUUCUAUAACAGUGACUGUAACAAAGAAAACCGCAAUACUUGUUGAUGAGAGCAAUUAUUUGUUGGAAAAAUUCAGUUAAGAAAAUGGUUUGCAGUUAUAGCUGAAAUUUGAAAAGUUUAAAAAUUGAAUUGAUUUGUGAUCAAUACAACUUUUACUAAAAAGUAAAUGUGCUUUGUGCGAAUUCAUCCUCGUUUUCAACCAAACGACCUUCUCUACUAUCCUCAUUCUAUGAAUUACUUCAAGCGUGGGUUUGAGCAACACGAACUAAACAUAGAAUAAGGUAAUGAUAUUAUUACUUUUAGUAGGAAAAUGGAAAUCGGUAAAGAUUGUAAUUCUCAAAAAAUAGAAUUUAUUCUAAGUAAAUAAAUUACAACCAUUUUUUGGCAGAAUAAUAUUAUCUCUAUAACCAAAAAGUGUAUCUAUUGGGUCAACCGGUAUCAUCUAUUUAUCGGAAGAGAUAGAAGAAUAUUAGUUGAAUAAGGUUUAAACAAAUAAUAUUAUUUAAAUAAAAAACACACUCCAACUCCAACUGGAGCAGUAGUGGGUGGCACACCCUAAUAACAACUACUAGGGUUGCCACCCCUCUCAUGUACUGUGAGGGGAUUUGAGCUUCUCAUGUAUUGAGUCCAAUUAUGUGUGCUUCCUAGACUUUUGACCAAACAUUUUAUAAUUUAAUCUAACACAAUAUUCAUUUUAAAUUUCUCAAAAUAAAUGUUAAUUAAUUAAUUAAUAAAAUUAACUAAAUUAAUUUUCCAAUUAAAUAAUUUUCUUAACCUAAUUCUAAUUUCGUUAAAGUCAUAACAACUUUACCAUAAAAGAGACUAUUAAGAAAUCUAUUUAAUUUUCUUAUUCAAUGGAUUAAUGAUAACUAAUUAAUUUAAUUCUUCUUUCGAACUUCAAUAUUUAAUUAAAUAAAUAAUAAUUCAAAAAUUUUAAAUUAAUUCUCAAGUCAUUUCUAUACUUAGUGAAAAAACACUUUCAUUUGUGAAUGCGACUCAUUUCUCUAACUUCAUCAUUCCACUUCAUUUCUGUUUAUUUGGUUCUAUAUGCAAUUCAUUUCUAGUUUCAACGAGCUAGCAGAGGAACCAAUUGAACAUAUAUAAUUAAGGGUCAAAUAAUUCAUAACAAAGUUCCAUUUUUCGUCUAUUAAUUAUAAAUUUAUUUAGUCACGAAGUCAUUCCACUAUAGUAUCAUGACUGAGCUCUCCCUAAUUACACACCAUUACCAAAGCUACUUAAUAAGUGUCCGUCCAAUGACCUUGUUAUAAGUGUAUUACCCUCAUAGGGUUUCCUUAAUCUCUUUGGAAUAAAUUCGUUCUCUCAAUAUGAUCUUAUUUUAUUUCAUGGUAACCAUUACAUCUUCCUUUAUGAAAAAUCAAUUACUAUCAAACAGUAAUCAAGUCAUUUAUUACAAAGACAAAUGACUCGUGACCAAAUUUACUUUUCAUUUCAUUUAUCAUGUAAUUCCACUAAUGUAAAUGAUGCUACAUACUGUAGAAGUUCUAUACCCAACGCAUCAACUUUCGAUUCCUUAUCUAUUUGAAUUUAGGCUUUUACUUACAUCAAAGUAUAUGAGUCACACAUACAUAGUCCAUCAUACACUUAAGAUUAAGGUACGCCACACUAUGAACGUUACAAGUGAAUAAAUCCCUAAAUGAAUUUAGGAUCUAUUCAACUUGGGUCCUUGGUUAAGCUUUUUAACACCAUUUCAAUUUGUGUGUUCUGGUCCAAAUUGAAUUCAUUAUCUAUAGCCUCGACAAAGUAACUCAUAAACGUAAUCAUGUGGUAUUUGACCUGAGUACCGAGUUUUUGUUGGACAUUCAUCAAAGUAGUUAUAGUUGACAGUGAGCCAAGACAAUUUAGCCUCCAAACAUGUCCUCUAGUUUGACCAAUAUUGCUUUGGCAAAAUCACAACUCUCUAGUUGCUUAUAAAGAGUACUAGUCAUGCUUGCUAGCAUAUAGUAUUGAGUUAUCUUAUUAAAUUCUUUCUAGUGAUUUCUAACCUCAGCUUGGUUAGCCGGAGGACAUUUAUUAUCAAGAACUAGGGGUGUAAAUGAACAGAAUAUUCAAUGAACUGUUCGUGAACCGUUCAUAUAAUGUUUGUUUAUGUUCGUUUAUUAAGCUAAAUAAACGAGUAUGAAUACAAUUUUUAUGUUCGUUUAAUAAACGAAUGAACACGAACAGAGGUGUAUUCGGUUUGUUUAUGUUCACAAACAAACUAGUUUAUUGACUCGUUUAUUUAUUAAUGAUAUUUUCUUAUAAAAAUUUCAUUAGUAUAUAUUAAUAAAAUUAUCUUGGUUUGUAUUAUUUUUCAUUUAUAAUAUAAUUAUUAAUAUUUAUAUUUGACUAUUUUAUAUCUAAACAAUGUAUGUAUGUAUGUAUGUAUGUAUGUAUGUAUGUAUGUAUGUAUGUAUGUAUGUAUGUAUGUAUGUAUGUAUGUAUGUAUGUAUGUAUGUAUUUGUUUGUUUGUUUAUUAUUUAUUAACAUUGUUCGUGAACAUGUUUGUUUAAUGUUCGUGAACAUGUUCAAUUAAGUUAAAUGAACAUGUUCGUAAACAUUAAACAAAUGAACAUGAACAAAUGAACAUGAACACACAUAAUUUUAAAUAAACGAACAUGAACAAAAAUUUAAUAUUCUUAACGAACAUAAACUGAACAUGAAUAAACUUAAAAAUAAACAACCGAAUAUGAAUAGAAGUUUGUUCAUUCAAGCUUGGUUCAUUUAUAACCCUAUCAAGAACCGUCUUGAGUUUCUCACAGCUUAAGACAAUCAUGAGAUUCAUUUUCCAUUCAUUAUAGUUAUGUUCGUUCCAUUUGUUAAUAAUGUAAAAAUUCAAAAUUAUUUUAAUCUAUCAGAACCUACUCAGCUUGAUCCGAGCCUAAAUCUAAAAAAGUUUAAUCCCAAAAAAAUCUAAAUCCGAAGAAAGCCCAAUCCGAGCCCACCCAAGCCCUCCCAUUUGCCCCUACUUGAAAUCUAUUUAAGAUUGGAGGGACCCCAUGGCUUAACUUUUGUAGUCCAACCAACAUAAACGUUAUCAUGCUGGCUAACCAUGAGCAUUGGUAACCAUAGCCAAUGGUUACUACAGUGGCACAUACUCCGGAAACACACUUGCAAAUCUACAAAGACCUAGAAACUGUAUAAAUGAGCAAUCAUUCAACUUCUUUUUUAGAUUCCUUGGUACUCGAUUCUCGGAGACAGACGAUCACAUGUGAAAUAGAACAGCUGCUGUUUGGCUAGGAGGUCUCAGAAAAUUUACCAAUUAUAUAGCAUAAGAUCCUUAUCAAAGGGUAAAACGUACAAGGGACCAUUAUCCUACAUUGAUAAGUGGCUAGUUGCGUGAUCCAUCCAUGUGAUAAAUUCUCAAUUUAUGGACAUGAAUAUGUGACAAUCAUGUCCCCCUCAGUACCAAAAUCUCGAGAGCCCACCACAUGUCAGGCAUUGAGAGAAGGGUGAGUGGCAGGGGGACCAUACUCAAACAUUGGUCCUUUUUUAUGAUGCAUUGAAUAAUCCAAUCAAAUUAUUAAUGUCAAUUUUCAAUCCAAAGUGACUCUUGGCCAUGUAUCAAACCACAUGAUAAGAGCAAUAAAAGAUAACACGGUUACGAAAAUUCAUAUUAUCAUAUCUAUUUCCACAAAAGAGGUGCUUGGUUCAAGAGUGAGCUACAAACAUGAGCGCCAUCGGAAAAUAAAUGAGAAAAAAAGAAGCAUAAUAUACCAAAGCAUAAACCAUCAUACAACCGUUACAAUCUGUGACUACAGUAACCACAGCUUUUAUGAAUACGACAGAGAAAGGGAAAAUGGUCCUAAAGUUCUAAGAACCAAAGCUUUGUUCCACUUUUCUCUCCUCAACUUCUUCACUUGUAUUCCAAAAUCAUGUUGUUUUCAGGAGCCAAGCCAAUGCUGGCCCUUAGUAUGUUCUCCAGCAUUGCACGCUGCUUGGACAGUGCGUUCACCACCGGUGUGCCUGGUGGAACCUGUUUUUUGCCAAAACAAUGUCAGCUCUCAGUAAAUUUCUUCACAGAUUUCUGGUUCAAGUGAUUGUCAUGAUUCUAUUCACAUUCUUGAACUGAAAUUUGACAUAAAGUUCACAAACUUUAAUUCAAUACUGUGUCCCCUCUCACCAGUUGCUUCAUGUGAAAUAGAAUGAAGCAGCUUUACAUAAAAUCAUUGAUGGUCACAUGAAAUAUAUCACAAAGAGGCACCAUAAAGUGAAUUUGCGAUUCCUUGUUUCCCACUUAAACUAUAAACAGUUGAGUUACCAUUUAAUUCAAGACAAUAAUAUCAAUGUUUUAUUGGUGAAGGUGUCACCCCUCCCCACCCCCAUUUUAUUAUUAAUUAUUUGCGAUUCCUGGUUUCCCACUUAAACUAUAAACAGUUGAGUUACCAGUUAAUUCAAGACAAUAAUAUCAAUGUUUUAUUGGUGAAGGUGUCACCCCUUCCCACCCCUGUUUUAUUAUUAAUUAUUAUUAUAUUUUUAGUAGGCCAGAGUUACAGGAAAAGACGAAGGGAUGCUUUGGACUCACAAGAGGGGCUUUGGUGAGGUAACUGAGGAUUGUAGCCACAGGAUGGAAAGAGUGGAACUUGCC
Molecule: long non-coding RNA, 23008 nt
Filed under: Gossypium raimondii (Peruvian cotton)
Lineage: Eukaryota; Viridiplantae; Streptophyta; Magnoliopsida; Malvales; Malvaceae
Description: long non-coding RNA (GRAI_LNC001842)
Source: RNAcentral